Molecule: ribosomal RNA, 492 nt
Filed under: uncultured bacterium
Lineage: Bacteria
Description: partial 16S ribosomal RNA
Rfam family: Bacterial small subunit ribosomal RNA
Source: RNAcentral
AGUGAACGCUGGCGGUAGGCCUAACACAUGCAAGUCGAACGGCAGCACAGUAAGAGCUUGCUCUUACGGGUGGCGAGUGGCGGACGGGUGAGGAAUACAUCGGAAUCUACUUUUUCGUGGGGGAUAACGUAGGGAAACUUACGCUAAUACUGCAUACGACCUACGGGUGAAAGCAGGGGAUCUUCGGACCUUGCGCGAUUGAAUGAGCCGAUGUCGGAUUAGCUAGUUGGCGGGGUAAAGGCCCACCAAGGCGACGAUCCGUAGCUGGUCUGAGAGGAUGAUCAGCCACACUGGAACUGAGACACGGUCCAGACUCCUGCGGGAGGCAGCAGUGGGGAAUAUUGGACAAUGGGCGCAAGCCUGAUCCAGCCAUACCGAGUGGGUGAAGAAGGCCUUCGGGUUGUAAAGCCCUUUUGUUGGGAAAGAAAAGCAGCAGGUUAAUACCCCGCUGUUCUGACGGUACCCAAAGAAUAAGCACCGGCUAACUUCGUG